RNAcentral lists this ribosomal RNA (337 nucleotides) under uncultured Alphaproteobacteria bacterium. RNAcentral's name for it is "bacterial SSU rRNA". It matches the Rfam family "Bacterial small subunit ribosomal RNA", at positions 1016 to 1355 of the family's 1533-position model. Lineage: Bacteria; Pseudomonadati; Pseudomonadota; Alphaproteobacteria. The record is from RNAcentral.
UCAUUAGUUGGACGAAACACAGGUGCUGCAUGGCUGUCGUCAGCUCGUGUCGUGAGAUGUUGGGUUAAGUCCGCAACGAGCGCAACCCUUUACUUUUAGUUGCCACCAUUUAGUUGAGCACUCUAAAAGAACUGCCAGUGAUAAGCUGGAGGAAGGCAGGGAUGACGUCAAGUCCUCAUGGCCCUUACGUGUUGGGCUACACACGUGCUACAAUGGCACUUACAAUGAGAUGCUAAGAGGCGACUCCAAGCCAAUCUCAAAAAGGUGCCUCAGUUCGGAUUGUACUCUGCAACUCGAGUACAUGAAGCUGGAAUUGCUAGUAAUCGCGGAUCAGCGC